RNAcentral lists this unclassified non-coding RNA (209 nucleotides) under plant metagenome. RNAcentral's name for it is "partial contains small subunit ribosomal RNA and internal transcribed spacer 1". The stretch from base 1 to 46 matches the Rfam family "Eukaryotic small subunit ribosomal RNA", at positions 1786 to 1831 of the family's 1831-position model. The record is from RNAcentral.
AAGUCGUAACAAGGUCUCCGUAGGUGAACCUGCGGAGGGAUCAUUACAAGUGACCCCCGGCUCCGGCCGGGGAUGUUCAUAACCCUUUGUUGUCCGACUCUGUUGCCUCCGGGGCGACCCUGCCUUUUCACGGGCGGGGGCCCCGGGUGGACACAUCAAAGCUCUUGCGUAACUUUGCAGUCUGAGUAAAUUUAAUUAAUAAAUUAAAA